This 160-nucleotide ribosomal RNA is filed under the name Deltaproteobacteria bacterium RIFCSPLOWO2_12_FULL_42_16. RNAcentral's name for it is "partial 23S ribosomal RNA". It matches the Rfam family "Bacterial large subunit ribosomal RNA", at positions 2775 to 2925 of the family's 2925-position model. Lineage: Bacteria; Deltaproteobacteria. The record is from RNAcentral.
AAGCAUCUAAGUGGGAAGCCCCUCCUAAGAUAAGAUAUCCCGGGCCGCAAGGUCCCUAAAGGUCACUUGGAGACUACGAGUUUGAUAGGCCGGAUGUGUAAGUCCAGUAAUGGAUUGAGCUUACCGGUACUAAUUGACCGUGCGGCUUGACCAUAAUAAA